Molecule: long non-coding RNA, 1005 nt
Organism: Hylaeus anthracinus
Lineage: Eukaryota; Metazoa; Arthropoda; Insecta; Hymenoptera; Colletidae
Exons: 5
Source: RefSeq, a predicted model, not a curated record
CGCUGGGAGGUCUAAUCGUCGUCGUUGACGCAACGGGGAAUAGUGGAAUAGGUCGAGGUGUCUGUGGCUUCGUUGGACGAAUCGUUGGUCUCGGAGAAUGUAUGCCAGACACGAUUCCAGCCGCGGGAAUUACGCCAGAUGUGGUACACCACGUGAUAGUAUUUGGCGGUGGUUACCUCGCGACGUCGGGUUUUUCGGACAACGGACAGCACACGCCAGAUCCUGACACUUUCCAGGAGAACCCUCGGCCGUGGUGCAACCAGAUGACACCGACGAGGGUUCCUUCUCUCGAUCAACGAUGACUUCCGUUUGGGAUGCAGACGGAGAUGGCGAGGAACGAUCUGGCGAAGGUGUGGCGACUGGCGUCGUUCUCAGGGGCAGAGUUACACCGCGCACCAACGGCGCUAUACUGUCUGUUACAUUGCGUCCUGGAAAUACCAAAAUGGUAAUUCCUUCGGAGGAUAGUUCGAGUUCUCCACGCCUCUGGUCAUGUUGACGAUGUAGCUGCCCACCGUGUUCAAAGCGCCUAAAGUCUCGCUGAUCGCGACCAACGGGUCUGGCUCCACUCUUUGCUCCACUUUCGCUAGCUUCGCGCUAAAGCACCACGCUUGGCCCUGAAGAGGAAAACAAAACGUCGGAGCGGGAGGAAAGGCGAGACGAGGAGGGACGUAUAAAGUUUGGAAUAACGUGGCCCGGCUUCGAAGGAGGCCUUUUCGGAACGAGUUAACGUACACGGACUUCAUCGACGGUGAAAGUUGCUCGACGAGAAAGCGCGCCUUUCUUCCGUUCACUGAUUCAUCGUCGAUACUCGCUCGACCGUUCCGCGGACGAGAAAAGAGCUAAAGAUUGUUUGUCUUUCGGUGGCUCGACGAACAAGAGGUGCAUCCUGAUUCAGAAGGAGAUAGACGCGAUUGUACGCUGGGGAAAUCCGAUCGUAAACACGCGCGAACGAAUUUCUUCGUCAAACAUCGCGCGUCAAGGUGGAUCUUUGCUUUUCUACGAAUU